RNAcentral lists this ribosomal RNA (649 nucleotides) under uncultured bacterium. RNAcentral's name for it is "bacterial SSU rRNA". It matches the Rfam family "Bacterial small subunit ribosomal RNA", at positions 8 to 656 of the family's 1533-position model. The record is from RNAcentral.
AGAGUUUGAUCCUGGCUCAGAUUGAACGCUGGCGGUAUGCCUUACACAUGCAAGUCGAACGGUAGAGGAGCAAUCCUCGAGAGUGGCGAACGGGUGAGUAAUACAUCGGAACGUGCCCAGUCGUGGGGGAUAACGUAGCGAAAGCUACGCUAAUACCGCAUACGACCCGAGGGUGAAAGCGGGGGACUCGCAAGAGCCUCGCGCGAUUGGAGCGGCCGAUGGCAGAUUAGGUAGUUGGUGGGGUAGAGGCCCACCAAGCCUGCGAUCUGUAGCUGGUCUGAGAGGACGACCAGCCACACUGGGACUGAGACACGGCCCAGACUCCUACGGGAGGCAGCAGUGGGGAAUUUUGGACAAUGGGCGAAAGCCUGAUCCAGCCAUACCGCGUGCGGGAAGAAGGCCUUCGGGUUGUAAACCGCUUUUGUCAGGGAAGAAAUACUUCGGGCUAAUACCCUGGGGUGAUGACGGUACCUGAAGAAUAAGCACCGGCUAACUACGUGCCAGCAGCCGCGGUAAUACGUAGGGUGCAAGCGUUAAUCGGAAUUACUGGGCGUAAAGCGUGCGCAGGCGGUUCUAUAAGACAGAUGUGAAAUCCCCGGGCUNCACCUGNGAACUGCAUUUGUGACUGUAGAGCUAGAGUACGGUAGAG